AUACGGAAGGUGCGAGCGUUAUCCGGAAUCACUGGGUUUAAAGGGUGCGUAGGCGGCAUGAUAAGUCAGAGGUGAAAGCCCUCAGCUUAACUGAGGAAUUGCCUUUGAUACUGUUGUGCUUGAAAGGGGAUGAGGUGAGCGGAAUGUGGCAUGUAACGGUGAAAUGUGUAGAUAUGCCAUAGAACACCGAUUGCGAAGGCAGCUCACUGGGCCUACCUUGACGCUGAGGCACGAAAGCGUGGGGAGCGAACAGGAUUAGAUACCCCAGUAGUCC
Molecule: ribosomal RNA, 274 nt
Filed under: uncultured bacterium
Lineage: Bacteria
Description: partial 16S ribosomal RNA
Rfam family: Bacterial small subunit ribosomal RNA
Source: RNAcentral